Molecule: long non-coding RNA, 254 nt
Filed under: Citrus x clementina
Lineage: Eukaryota; Viridiplantae; Streptophyta; Magnoliopsida; Sapindales; Rutaceae
Description: Citrus clementina (C. clementina) long non-coding RNA (CCLE_LNC006258)
Source: RNAcentral
CCGCUGGGGGGUUUUGGCACCACGACCUUCGGGCGCUUAUUUUUGGACGCGGCUGUGCCCGCGACUUCCCGUGGGCACCCCGAGGCCCCUCGCAAAGUCUCGCCCCAUUCCGAGUCUGGCGGACGAACUUCGCCCGCGCCCCCCACCAAGGCUAUAGCCCACCCGUUUUUUGGCCAUUUUUCCGCUGGGGGGUUUUGGCACCACGACCUUCGGGAGCUUAUUUUUGGGCGCAGCUUUGCCCGCGGCUUAUUUUU